This 85-nucleotide transfer RNA is filed under the name Thermoleophilia bacterium. RNAcentral describes it as "tRNA-Leu". It matches the Rfam family "tRNA". Rfam says of the family: Transfer RNA (tRNA) molecules are approximately 80 nucleotides in length. Their secondary structure includes four short double-helical elements and three loops (D, anti-codon, and T loops). Lineage: Bacteria; Bacillati; Actinomycetota; Thermoleophilia. RNAcentral also lists the same sequence under 2 other names. The record is from RNAcentral.
GCCGGGGUGGCGAAACUGGUCAUACGCGCCCGACUUAAAAUCGGGUGGCCUUCGGGCCGUCUGGGUUCGAGUCCCAGCCCCGGCA